GCCGAUUUGGUCCUAGUCCCAAUCUUAACUACUGUUGAGGUGCCACAUGCAAGUCCACUAGCGAACCAGUGAAAUAGAAUCUUAUUCCCUAAAACCUGGAAAGAAGAAAAGGGAAAGAGAAGACCAGUAUCAGGCACUAAGUAGAUGAGCCCACGACACUAAGCAAGAGAGUCUGCUCAACUGCAGUGCUAAAUAUUAGACAAUCAGAAAAAUCCGGAUUUAGCAAGGGAAGUAUAAAGGAGGUAAAAUACGUUGCCAGCCACCGCGGUUAUACGUAAUUCCUACAGUUAAAUAGUACGGUGAAAAGGGUGUUAGAAAAGUUCAUUGGUUGUAGCUUUGGGCUAGCGGUAUAAUUUUAAUCCCACACGAUACCCUUACCCCCAAAUUAAGCAUUUGAAGCCACGAAAUCUAAGGCCUAAACCAGGAUUAGAUACCCUGUUAUACUUAGAAGUGUAACACCCCUAAAGUUCAAAAUUCAAAGGAUUUGGCGGUUUUCCAAACCUCCCUGGAGAGUUUGCCAUUGAAUCGAUAACCCACGAUCCACCUCACCAAUUUUUGUAACACCAGCUUGUAUACCAUCGUCGUAAGUCUACUUCUUGAGAAAGUUGACUUUAAGGGAGAACCCUGGACGUCAGAUCAAGGUGCAGCCUAUAAGUUGGGGAUAGGUGAGCUACAAUGUUUGAACAAACCAGUUGGAAGGAGGGAUGAAAUACCCCUCGGAAUUUGGAUUCAGCAGUAGGCCCACUAAGAGAAUGGGGCUGAAAAGAGCUCUGGAAUGCGUACACAUCGCCCGUCACUCUCGCCUAGUUAAGAUUACACAAGGGGAGACAAGUCGUAACACAAUAGGCACACCGGACGCGAAAAUGCCCCUAUAGUUG
Molecule: non-coding RNA, 878 nt
Organism: Strongylocentrotus purpuratus (purple sea urchin)
Lineage: Eukaryota; Metazoa; Echinodermata; Echinoidea; Camarodonta; Strongylocentrotidae
Source: the annotation of a RefSeq genome assembly